ACGCUCGACACCUACGGGAGGCAGCAGUGGGGAAUAUUGGGCAAUGGGGGCAACCCUGACCCAGCAACGCCGCGUGAAGGAAGAAGGCUUUCGGGUUGUAAACUUCUUUGACAAGGGACGAAAUAAAUGACGGUACCUUGAAAACAAGCCACGGCUAACUACGUGCCAACAGCCGCGGUAAUCUGAGCGGGCUGGCAAGGC
This 201-nucleotide ribosomal RNA is filed under the name uncultured bacterium. Its description in RNAcentral is "partial 16S ribosomal RNA". It matches the Rfam family "Bacterial small subunit ribosomal RNA", at positions 328 to 539 of the family's 1533-position model. The record is from RNAcentral.